Molecule: ribosomal RNA, 492 nt
Filed under: uncultured bacterium
Lineage: Bacteria
Description: partial 16S ribosomal RNA
Rfam family: Bacterial small subunit ribosomal RNA
Source: RNAcentral
AGUGAACGCUGGCGGUAGGCCUAACACAUGCAAGUCGAACGGCAGCACAGUAAGAGCUUGCUCUUACGGGUGGCGAGUGGCGGACGGGUGAGGAAUACAGCGGAAUCUACUUUUUCGUGGGGGAUAACGUAGGGAAACUUACGCUAAUACCGCAUACGACCUACGGGUGAAAGCAGGGGAUCUUCGGACCUUGCGCGAUUGAAUGAGCCGAUGUCGGAUUAGCUAGUUGGCGGGGUAAAGGCCCACCAAGGCGACGAUCCGUAGCUGGUCUGAGAGGAUGAUCCGCCAGACUGGAACUGAGACACGGUCCAGACUCUUACGGGAGGCAGCAGUGGGGAAUAUUGGACAAUGGGCGCAAGCCUGAUCCAGCCAUACCGCGUGGGUGAAGAAGGCCUUCGGGUUGUAAAGCCCUUUUGUUGGGAAAGAAAAGCAGCAGGUUAAUACCCCGCUGUUCUGACGGUACCCAAAGAAUAAGCACCGGCUAACUUCGUG